ACGGAGGGUGCAAGCGUUGUUCGGAAUUACUGGGCGUAAAGCGCGCGUAGGCGGCCGUAUAAGUCAUUUGUGAAAGUCCCUGGCUCAACCAGGGAAGUGCAUGUGAAACUGUGCGGCUUGAGUACUGGAGGGGGUAGUGGAAUUCCCGGUGUAGAGGUGAAAUUCGUAGAUAUCGGGAGGAAUACCGGUGGCGAAGGCGACUACCUGGCCAGAUACUGACGCUGAGGUGCGAAAGCGUGGGGAGCAAACAGG
This 252-nucleotide ribosomal RNA is filed under the name uncultured bacterium. Its description in RNAcentral is "partial 16S ribosomal RNA". It matches the Rfam family "Bacterial small subunit ribosomal RNA", at positions 525 to 776 of the family's 1533-position model. The record is from RNAcentral.